GGAGAAAUAUUUUUUGGUGCGUUUCUCAGUUAUUCCGUGCCAUUUGCUACGAACGGUCUGCCGAUUCCUGCAAGUACCCAAACUCAAACAACAACAAAAACAACAACAACAACAAAAUGAAUGAAGCAAGAAGUUUGUUUACCACCUUCUUAAUCCUGGCCUUCUUGCUCUUCUUGCUCUAUGCCUUCUACGAAGCCGCCUUCUAAAUUAUGAUUCGAGUUUACUAGUUCAAGGAUAUAUGCUUACAUGUUGAAUUUUGAAUUCCAACAACAACAUUUUCAAACAUGAUACAAAUAAAAACCAAUUUACUUACCGACUAGGAUUAAGUCGCUAGCAUUUAAUGGAUUUCUAUUAGUACCCUAAGUCAGAUGACGUCAAAGCUGCAGGCAAUAAGAGCAGCUGCCCGGUUCCAUUUGGGGGCUCCGCGAUUGCCAGAGGAAAUGUGUGUUCCGUCAUUCGUGCAAUCCAAUUGGAACGUUUGGGACACUCACAACUUUUAUAGCCUGCCAGGCCUUGCCGUCAUCUGCUCUAAUCAUAAAUAUUAACAGGCAAAAAUUUUGUUUCUCAAUGGAAUUUAUUCAAUUAAUUAUUAAUUGACCAUAAUGUACAGUAUAAGUGUUUAUAGCAACAACAACAACGGCAGCAGCAAUACGAACAGCAAAGACAACAACAACAGCUCACGGCGCACAUAGGAAAAUUAUGAAUUUCAUUGUUUAACACUUUGCACAUAAUAUGUAAGAUCUUUAUUUAGUUCGAUUUGCAUUUUUUCGUAAAUAACAACAAGACCAACAGCUGCAUAAGCA
This 803-nucleotide small RNA is filed under the name Drosophila mojavensis. RNAcentral describes it as "GI26464". The record is from RNAcentral. Lineage: Eukaryota; Metazoa; Arthropoda; Insecta; Diptera; Drosophilidae.